RNAcentral lists this ribosomal RNA (616 nucleotides) under uncultured bacterium. RNAcentral's name for it is "bacterial SSU rRNA". It matches the Rfam family "Bacterial small subunit ribosomal RNA", at positions 125 to 731 of the family's 1533-position model. The record is from RNAcentral.
CCUGCCUUAAUGCCUGGGAUAACAGUUGGAAACGAUUGCUAAUACCGGAUAAUUUCUUGAUAGACAUCUAUUAAGAAUAAAAGUUGGGAUACAACACAUUGAGAUGGGCUUAUGGCGCAUUAGUUAGUUGGUGAGGUAACGGCUCACCAAGACGAUGAUGCGUAGCCGACCUGAGAGGGUGACCGGCCACACUGGGACUGAGACACGGCCCAGACUCCUACGGGAGGCAGCAGUAGGGAAUUUUCGGCAAUGGGGGAAACCCUGACCGAGCAACGCCGCGUGAGUGAAGAAGGCCUUCGGGUCGUAAAGCUCUGUUGUAAGGGAAGAACAGUUGGGAGAGGGAAUGCUCUCAACCUGACGGUACCUUACCAGAAAGUGACGGCUAACUACGUGCCAGCAGCCGCGGUAAUACGUAGGUCACAAGCGUUAUCCGGAAUUAUUGGGCGUAAAGGGAGCGCAGGCGGUUUAUCAAGUUUGUGGUUAAAGUUCGGGGCUUAACCCCGUGAUGCCACAGAAACUGGUAGACUAGAGUGCAGGAGAGGUGAGUGGAAUUCCAUGUGUAGCGGUAAAAUGCGUAGAUAUAUGGAGGAACACCAGUGGCGAAGGCGGCUCACUG